GUGGUGGUGAACCUGGAACCUACCACAGGAAGCACAUGGGCAAAGAGAGGGAGAGAGAGAGAGAGGGGGACAGAAGGACGAAAACGGAGAAGAAGGGAAAUAGAGAGAGAGCGAGGGAAAAGAGAAAAAAAAAAGAAGAAAGAAAACCACAGAUAAUCUGCUUCAAUACCUGCUGAUGAGAGAAAACAACAACCAACAUCUGUACGAGUCACAAUGAGCAUGUUAAGGAGCAACAGCCGAUCAAGACAGUGUGUGUCUUAGUGUGUGUGGGGAGCCACAGCCCCAUCCCUCAGGACAUGAAGCAGACACGGAGGAGGCCCGGACCCCAGACAGCCAGAGGCCCCCCAGGGCAUGGGAGCCCCCGGAGGACCACCGCAGGGAGAAUAGCA
Molecule: long non-coding RNA, 389 nt
Organism: Brienomyrus brachyistius
Lineage: Eukaryota; Metazoa; Chordata; Actinopteri; Osteoglossiformes; Mormyridae
Exons: 3
Source: RefSeq, a predicted model, not a curated record